CUACGGGAGGCAGCAGUGGGGAAUCUUGCGCAAUGGGCGAAAGCCUGACGCAGCAACGCCGCGUGUGUGAUGAAGGUCUUCGGAUCGUAAAGCACUGUCGCGAGGGACGAAUAAGGGACGGGCGAACAGUCCGUUUCGAUGACGGUACCUCGAGAGGAAGCACCGGCUAACUCUGUGCCAGCAGCCGCGGUAAUACAGAGGGUGCAAGCGUUGUUCGGAAUUAUUGGGCGUAAAGCGCGUGUAGGCGGCCUAGCAAGUCGGAUGUGAAAGCCCUCGGCUUAACCGAGGAAGUGCGUUCGAAACUACUGGGCUUGAGUACCGGAGAGGGUGGCGGAAUUCCCGGUGUAGAGGUGAAAUUCGUAGAUAUCGGGAGGAACACCAGUGGCGAAGGCGGCCACCUGGACGGAUACUGACGCUGAGACGCGAAAGCGUGGGUAGCAAACAGGAUUAGAUACCCUGGUAGA
RNAcentral lists this ribosomal RNA (464 nucleotides) under uncultured bacterium. Its description in RNAcentral is "bacterial SSU rRNA". It matches the Rfam family "Bacterial small subunit ribosomal RNA", at positions 339 to 794 of the family's 1533-position model. The record is from RNAcentral.